UGUUUUCUUCUUCUUCUUCAUUUUGAAUUUUUUUUUCUGUUGUUGUUGUUGAGGCUUCAACAACAACCGCUGGAGGAGGACUACUGGGGCAGCAGCAGCAGAGGAGGAGGAAGAAGAAAAGAAAAA
This 126-nucleotide non-coding RNA is filed under the name Heterosigma akashiwo. Lineage: Eukaryota; Raphidophyceae; Chattonellales; Chattonellaceae. The record is from RNAcentral.